UCCAGUUCCCCCGGUUGGAUGUUACCUGGUAUGAGGCACGUUUCAGCUGUGCGUAUUCAAACGGCUUGUUUUCCGUAACGAAGCAAGAACACAUCGACCUCAUCACUAGUCACCUCUUGAACAAAUUUAUCGACGCCGCCUGGGUCGGGUCUACACUAAACCAAGUGGGCGUUGUAAACAACUUGUGUCCAGUCCUUGCGUUGAGUCGUGCCACAUCCUCCUAUGUUACAAGCGAGAUUCCAUGUGAUACCCUUAGCAUUACCACCUGUAUUUGCGAAACCACGAAAAUGUGGUAGCAAGCAAUUCCAAAAGGAAUCAUUUCCUCAAAAGAAAUGAUUUAAUAUUGACGUUGGAAUAAACAGAGGGACUUGCCAGUUUCGCAAAACCCCUCUGGUGUUUUGUGGGGGAGAUCAAAGAUGACCGAAUUCUUCGCAACUUCUGUUUUUUUAUAAAAUAAAAGAGUUAUUAAUGC
Molecule: long non-coding RNA, 472 nt
Organism: Macrobrachium nipponense
Lineage: Eukaryota; Metazoa; Arthropoda; Malacostraca; Decapoda; Palaemonidae
Exons: 2
Source: RefSeq, a predicted model, not a curated record